Molecule: ribosomal RNA, 67 nt
Filed under: Elymus antiquus
Lineage: Eukaryota; Viridiplantae; Streptophyta; Magnoliopsida; Poales; Poaceae
Description: partial 28S ribosomal RNA
Rfam family: Eukaryotic large subunit ribosomal RNA (bases 11-67)
Source: RNAcentral
GCUUCGACCGCGACCCCAGGUCAGGCGGGACUACCCGCUGAGUUUAAGCAUAUCAAUAAGCGGAGGA